GAAAUGCGAUACGUAAUGUGAAUUGCAGAAUUCAGUGAAUCCUGCAUCAGUAAACACCUCAACUCCCUUUUCUUUUUUGAAAUGGGAGCUGGACUUGAGUGAUCCCAACACUUUUCUCACUGGAAAGUGGCGGGUCACUUGAAAUGCAGGUGCAGCUGGACUUUUCUCUGAGCUAUAAGCAUAUCUAUUUAGUCUGCCUAAAAAACAGAUUAUUACCUUUGCUGCAGCUAACAUAAAGGAGAUGAGUUCUUGUGCUGACUGAUGCAGGAUUCACAGAGACAGCUUUGCGGCUGACUUUGUAAACUCGAUCUCAAAUCAAGUAAGACUACCCGCUGAACUUAA
This 342-nucleotide unclassified non-coding RNA is filed under the name uncultured fungus. RNAcentral describes it as "sequence contains ITS1". Lineage: Eukaryota; Fungi. The record is from RNAcentral.